Podarcis lilfordi (Lilford's wall lizard) is the source of this 71-nucleotide non-coding RNA. The record is from the annotation of a GenBank genome assembly. NCBI's taxonomy places the organism in Eukaryota, Metazoa, Chordata, Lepidosauria, Squamata, Lacertidae.
GGUUCGUGGUUCAGUCGUAGAGCCCCUCCCUUGCAAACAGAUGGUUCCAGGUUCGAAUCCUGGCAUCUCCA